This 991-nucleotide long non-coding RNA is filed under the name Homo sapiens (human). RNAcentral's name for it is "myocardin-induced smooth muscle lncRNA, inducer of differentiation (MYOSLID)". The record is from RNAcentral. Lineage: Eukaryota; Metazoa; Chordata; Mammalia; Primates; Hominidae.
GAGUUCAAGUGCUUCUUUAUAAAGGACACUUAACUGAUCUAAAUAUUUGUCAAGCUGAAUCGCUACAUCCACUCUCACCUGCCUGAAAUCAAUAUGCUCAAGUCAAACGCAUUUGCCUGCAUCUGAAUGUGGAGAAUGAACUUCUUAAAGCUGAACUGGCAGCUGGAAGGGGAGAGAGAAGAGCUGGACAGGGAGCCAGGACACCGGAGUUCUUUUCCACUGUGGUGGGAUCUGGAAGAAGCUGUUGAAUCUCUGUAGAGUUAGCUUUUAAAUGCUCCUUGAAUUCUCAGGCAGUGAAUGCACUACCGUGUGCAGAAGGCAAGGACAUGGCUGAGCAUGUUGUUUUCUUCACCUUAUAUGGAGCUUCCUUAACAGGUUCCUGGUGCUGGUUCCAGCAGAAUAGACACAGAGAUGCAUGGCCUAACUCCCACUCCCUCUUCAGGACUGAGCCACGCAGCCCCCCAUCUGCCAGAAGUGUUAGCUGUUGACGGCUCACAGCUGAGUCCCUCUCCAGGCAUUGCUGAAAAGAGCCACCUUGCUCUAGGAUGUGCCCCCACCCUGGGGGCAGCAUACAUUCCAAGUGAUUAGUCCAUAGUGUGGUACAAAGGUUGUACCCAUCUUGCCUGAAUUCAGGAUCUCUUGGAAAACCACCCCAGCUCUGCAGCUCCUGGUGGGGUGCUGAGGCCUCUGCUGCAGCUGCAUCGCAGUUUACUUUCCCCUCUGCCUAGUCCUGCUGCCUUCACUCCCCAACAGGUAUUGUUCCCCAGAGAACUCCCUGCCCCCAGUCACCUGUAAGCAAAUCUCCACUGCAGUCUGUGGCCUGGGAAACCUGCUCUAGGAUCCCAAAGUGAACACAGCUUCCCAUUGAAAUGUGUCUUUGGGUGUUAAUCUGUCCUGCCAUCUUUACAUCUAAUCAAGAGGUAGAGCUUCCCCUGGUGUUCCUGCUGGGUACAUAAAGGAUCUUUUCCAUUGUCAAAAAAAAAAAAAAAAA